UUGAAAUGAUGAUAGGUAAUUACCGUACGAUAUCUGUGAUUAAAAACCCCAUGGCUGCAAUUAUUGCAACUGAUGC
Molecule: small nucleolar RNA, 76 nt
Filed under: Drosophila grimshawi
Lineage: Eukaryota; Metazoa; Arthropoda; Insecta; Diptera; Drosophilidae
Description: snoRNA:GH25770
Source: RNAcentral